GGGUCAGCGGCUCCUGUGGCAUCCGGCCAAGGACAAUGUGCUGAAAAGUUUCCCCUGAAAAAAUCAGAAACAAAACUCACCUCAGGAGAGGCCCCUGCUCCCUCGAAGAGGAAGUGGGAGUCACGUGAGGCUCGUCUUGAUUGGGGUUCCUGGAGAGGAGGCCCCCUCUCCCUAGGUGGGGGCUCCUGUUUCCCCUGCUCUGCUCUCUGAGGUCCCCAGGGUCCAGUCCCCUCCCCACCCUAUCCUGAAGCUUGUCAAGGCCACCAGAGACCUGCUCCCUGUGCCGUCUCAGACUGGACUCUGGGGUCUCCUGUGCCUCCUCCGAUUCUGCACCUCAGUGCAGCCUCUGGCCUGGCUGCACUCUGAGGAGCUCCCUGUGGCCACCGAGCCCUUGGAACGUGGCCAGUUCCAUUCUCAAACUGCUGUGAGUGCAAAGCUCAUGCUGGAUUUUGAAGAUUUGGUGAGAAAAAAAAUUUCUUUGUAAAAUGUCAGUAUUUCAUCAAUAGUAUAUUUUAUUGAUGAUACGUUGAGAUAAUAUUUUGGAUAUAUUUGUUUUAGUAGAUUGCUGCACCUGGCCUGUCUUCUUCCUUCCUAAGUAAGUGAAGGAAAUAAUGUAUACAGUGGUCCAUUUCCAAGACAAAGUGCCUUAAAUCAGCAUGGGUCAGCAAACUACAGAAGAAACAGGAUAUACUAGGCCCCUGCUUGGAUAGCUGAUGCCUUCUUGUCAGCCUCCUCCCUCCCCUUCUCCCUCCACUUAGUUGCCCUUGCCCAAACCAAGGAAGUUUAGUCUAAGAUGAAAGUUUACUGGCCUGCAAAA
Molecule: long non-coding RNA, 817 nt
Filed under: Pongo abelii (Sumatran orangutan)
Lineage: Eukaryota; Metazoa; Chordata; Mammalia; Primates; Hominidae
Description: lincRNA
Source: RNAcentral